GGGCCCGUAGCUCAAUGGCAGAGCAACUGACUCUUAAUCAGUAGGUUCUCAGUUCGACCCUGAGCGGGCUCA
This 72-nucleotide transfer RNA is filed under the name Chloroflexota bacterium. RNAcentral's name for it is "tRNA-Lys". It matches the Rfam family "tRNA". From Rfam's summary of the family: Transfer RNA (tRNA) molecules are approximately 80 nucleotides in length. Their secondary structure includes four short double-helical elements and three loops (D, anti-codon, and T loops). The record is from RNAcentral. Lineage: Bacteria; Bacillati; Chloroflexota.